Molecule: long non-coding RNA, 1437 nt
Organism: Anthonomus grandis grandis
Lineage: Eukaryota; Metazoa; Arthropoda; Insecta; Coleoptera; Curculionidae
Exons: 3
Source: RefSeq, a predicted model, not a curated record
CAACUUGUUUGUUUUUAUUUCUUAAAAGUCUGAAGUGAUUUAGUUUAAACUAUGGACGGAGAAAAAAUUGAUAAACUUAUCGUUCUUGUGGCUGAAUUUAGUGAGCUAUAUGACAUUUCUCAUAAAAGUUAUAGUAACCAACACAGGAGAAAAAUAAUUUGGACGGAGAUUGGUAACAAACCUAAUAAAAAGGCCGAGGUUUGUAAGCAGAGAUGGAAAACUUUAAGAGACGCUUUUCAGCGAGCAGCAAAAACCAACCAAACAAAAAGUGGACAAGCUGCCACAGAAUAAACGAUCUCAUCGUUUAUUCUCCAUCGAGAUCGUUUAUUCUGUGCAAGCUGCCAAAGGCAACAAGAAAUGGAAAUACUGGGAUGCCAUGGCUUUUCUUCAGCCACAUAUUAAAGGAAGAGUAACUCAUUCAAAUGUUAGCCAAAUGCAGCAAGAAGAUAUUAGUGAAGGCGAUGAAAUGGAUACUCAAGUAGAAAAUAAUACACAAAGCCAAAGAAGAGACAAAAAGAGUGUGAAGAUUAUGAUGCCGAAAAUAGCUUAGAUAUUCCUUCUUCCAUUUCACAGCCAAACACACUUUCUUGUUCUUCAAGCGUAGAGACUCCAUCAAGACCAUCAUCUCGUGAUACAAGUGUAAAAAGUGUCCAACGUUUUAAGAAAUUAAAAGCUGCAGUCAGAAAUGAUGAGUCAAUACCGGAAAUAUUAAAAGAAUAUGGUGAUGACAAAAAACGUAGUCGUUUAGAAAAGCAGGCCAAUGAUCUUGUAAAACCAUCAGUAAAUGAAAAUAGCCCACUAAUAGAUUUUUUUAUUAAUAUGGGCAAAACAACAGGUACAUUUCCUCUACUAUGGCAAGUUGCCAUGAAAAAUAAAGUAUUUUAAAUAGUAAAUUCAUACGAAUUGCAAAUAUUAUCAAAUUACUCCUCUUUGAUAACACAAACUUUUAGUGAGAGUCUGAGAGAAAUACUGGGUCACAAUCAGACACUAUCCCAAAUUCAUGAGACACUUCAGCCACCAAUGCAAAUAGUCACCUAUGCAAAAUCCACCAUCUGUACAAACUCGACCGCCAAUGCAACAACACAUCUCUGUACAAGACGAAUCAUCUACAUUCUUCGGGGAAACUUCUACAUACUAUUCACAAUUCGCAAGUCAAUUACCUCACUCAUGGACACCUCACUAAUCUUGCCCAUUUUUUUGUGAAGAGAUAUGUUUCUUAGUUUAUUUUUUCUAUGUGUUUCCUUAGGACUACUUUGUUAACUAGUGUUUAUUUUUACAAUGAUAUUAUCAAACAUAAAAUUAGUUUAUUUUGUUGCGUUAAAUAAAAAAUGAUAUUUUCAUGUCACUUAAAAAUAAAUGUUUGCACUAAUUAAAUCAAUCAUUUGCUUACCUUAGAAAAACAGUUAGCCUCUCUUGUGGACUGGUGCCCUGCCGAAA